This 397-nucleotide ribosomal RNA is filed under the name uncultured bacterium. RNAcentral's name for it is "bacterial SSU rRNA". It matches the Rfam family "Bacterial small subunit ribosomal RNA", at positions 362 to 776 of the family's 1533-position model. The record is from RNAcentral.
UAUUGGACAAUGGGCGAAAGCCUGAUCCAGCAAUGCCGCGUGAGUGAUGAAGGCCCUAGGGUUGUAAAGCUCUUUUACCCGGGAAGAUAAUGACUGUACCGGGAGAAUAAGCUCCGGCUAACUCCGUGCCAGCAGCCGCGGUAAUACGGAGGGAGCUAGCGUUGUUCGGAUAUACUGGGCGUAAAGCGCACGUAGGCGGUUUUUUAAGUCAGAGGUGAAAGCCCGGGGCUCAACCCCGGAAUUGCCUUUGAAACUGGAAAACUUGAAUCUUGGAGAGGUCAGUGGAAUUCCGAGUGUAGAGGUGAAAUUCGUAGAUAUUCGGAAGAACACCAGUGGCGAAGGCGACUGACUGGACAAGUAUUGACGCUGAGGUGCGAAAGCGUGGGGAGCAAACAGG